UAAUAUAAGGUUUAACCUGCUCAAUGAAAUUUAAAUAGCCGCAGUAUUUUGACUGUGCAAAGGUAGCAUAAUAAUUAGUUUCUUAAUUAGAAACUGGAAUGAAUGGUUGGACAAGAAAAUUACUGUCUCUUUUUUAAUAUUAUUGAAUUUUAUUUUUAAGUGAAAAAGCUUAAAUUUUUAUAAAAGACGAGAAGACCCUAUAGAGUUUAAUAUUUUCUUUAAUAAUAAGAUAUUAGUAUGCUAGUUUUUAAAAAAAUAUUUGAUUGGGGUGAUUGAGAGAAAAGCAAAAUUCUUUUAGUUUUUAAUUGAUUAUUUUCAAUUUUUUAAUCUAUAAUUUAUAAAAUUAAAAUAAAUUACCUUAGGGAUAACAGCGUAAUUUUUCUUUAAAGUUCUUAUUAAAAGGAAAGUUUGCGACCUCGAUGUUGGAUUAAAAUUAAUUUUUGGUGCAGUAACUAAAAAAUUAGGUCUGUUCGACCUUUAAAAUUUUACAUGAUCUGAGUUUAAACCGGUGUGAGCCAGGUUGGAUUCUAUCUUUAGAAAAUUUUUAUAUUUUAGUACGAAAGGACCAAAUAUGAAUUAAAUUAAUUGU
Molecule: ribosomal RNA, 589 nt
Filed under: Cautires sp. UPOL VK0206
Lineage: Eukaryota; Metazoa; Arthropoda; Insecta; Coleoptera; Lycidae
Description: partial 16S ribosomal RNA
Rfam family: Bacterial large subunit ribosomal RNA
Source: RNAcentral